CGAAAGCCUGACGCAGCGACGCCGCGUGGGGGAAGACGGCCUUCGGGUUGUAAACCUCUUUCGACAGGGACGAAGCCACUCGGGUUAAUAGCCCAGAGGGUGACGGUACCUGCAGAAGAAGCUCCGGCUAACUUCGUGCCAGCAGCCGCGGUAAUACGAAGGGAGCAAGCGUUGUCCGGAUUUAUUGGGCGUAAAGAGCGUGUAGGCGGCCAGACAGGUCCGUUGUGAAAACUGGAGGCUUAACCUCCAGACGUCGAUGGAAACCGUUUGGCUAGAGUCCGGAAGAGGAGAGUGGAAUUCCUGGUGUAGCGGUGAAAUGCGCAGAUAUCAGGAAGAACACCCGUGGCUAAGGCGGCUCUCUAGUACGGUACUGACGCUGAGACGCGAAAGCGUGGGGAGCGAACAGGAUUAGAUACCCUGGUAGUCCACGCCGUAAACGAUGGGUGCUAGGUGUGGGGGGUGUCGACUCCCUCCGUGCCGAAGCUAACGCAUUAAGCACCCCGCCUGGGGAGUACGGCCGCAAGGCUA
This 528-nucleotide ribosomal RNA is filed under the name uncultured Actinomycetes bacterium. RNAcentral describes it as "bacterial SSU rRNA". It matches the Rfam family "Bacterial small subunit ribosomal RNA", at positions 376 to 896 of the family's 1533-position model. Lineage: Bacteria; Bacillati; Actinomycetota; Actinomycetes. The record is from RNAcentral.